UGGUUGUUGCUAGGGCAACUGCAGGCCCCGCCCCUGACCUUGAUCCCGCCCUGCGCGCUGCUGAUUGGCGGUAUCUGUUAUUGGAGGUCAGCCUCUAUGUGGUGAAGACAGUGAAGCAGCCAACUGAGAGACACAAAUGAGGAUGAACAAGGGUGUCCUGUCAACAACCAUAACUAUCUGAGCAACCCAUCCGGGAAGCAGAUUUUCCAGCCCUAAUCAAGUCUUUGGAUGACUAUAGCCCUAGGCAACACUUUAAUCAUAUCUUCCUGAGAGACCCUGAACCACCAGCUAAGCCAGACUCCUGACUUACAGAAACUGUGUGAGAUAAUAAAUAUUUGUUGUUUUAAGCCA
Long non-coding RNA from Marmota flaviventris (yellow-bellied marmot), 351 nucleotides. RefSeq lists it as uncharacterized. The record is from RefSeq and is a predicted model, not a curated record. Lineage: Eukaryota; Metazoa; Chordata; Mammalia; Rodentia; Sciuridae.